AGCGAACGCUGGCGGCAGGCUUAACACGUGCAAGUCGAACGCCCCGCAAGGGGAGUGGCAGACGGGUGAGUAACACGUGGGAACGUACCCUUUGGUUCGGAAUAACUUGGGGAAACUCAAGCUAAUACCGGAUAAGCCCUUAUGGGGAAAGGGUUACUGCCGAAGGAUCGGCCCGCGUCUGAUUAGCUAGUUGGUGAGGUAAUGGCUCACCAAGGCGACGAUCAGUAGCUGGUCUGAGAGGAUGAUCAGCCACACUGGGACUGAGACACGGCCCAGACUCCUACGGGAGGCAGCGGUGGGGAAUAUUGGACAAUGGGGGCAACCCUGAUCCAGCCAUGCCGCGUGAGUGAUGAAGGCCUUAGGGUUGUAAAGCUCUUUUACCCGGGACGAUAAUGACUGUACCGGGAGAAUAAGCCCCGGCUAACUUCGUGCCAGCAGCCGCAGUAA
Molecule: ribosomal RNA, 447 nt
Filed under: uncultured bacterium
Lineage: Bacteria
Description: partial 16S ribosomal RNA
Rfam family: Bacterial small subunit ribosomal RNA
Source: RNAcentral